RNAcentral lists this ribosomal RNA (654 nucleotides) under Triticum aestivum (bread wheat). RNAcentral's name for it is "partial small subunit ribosomal RNA". Lineage: Eukaryota; Viridiplantae; Streptophyta; Magnoliopsida; Poales; Poaceae. The record is from RNAcentral.
AUGCUGGAUAUGGGCAGGGGCCGUCCCAAGGAGGCGAUUGAGGAGUUGAGGGUGGAAGAUGAUGUGAAGCUUGAAGGUUUCAGCGCACUGCACAUCGCGGCCAGUAGAUGUAGUCUGCAGGUGUGCAAGUACCUCGUCGAGGAGCUGCUGAUAGAUGUGGAUCUGGUCGACAAGGAAGGUAGAACACCUCCGCUGUUUGCCAAAUACCACAAUGGGGGUACUGUCGAGUAUCUUCUUGAUCAUGGUGCUAAUCCAGACAAAGCAAAUAACGACGGGGCUUUCCUGUUACAUUAUGCCGCUGAAUUAGGCAUUUGUGAAAUGAUAGAGCUUUUGCUUGCAAAAGGAGCUUAUGUUGACCCAGUAUCUGCUCGUGGAACACCACUUCAUGUUGCUGCUGCUGAACGGCAUUAUGAUGCUAUGAAGAUUUUAUUGGACCACAAUGCAGAUUACAACAAGAUGGUAAAUGGUGUGACACCUCUUAUGGCUGCUACAGAUGCCAACUCAACGGAAUGUAUCAAGCUCCUAGUUAAGGUUCAGGAGGAGCCUAUGCUUAAACGGGAAAUCGCGGCAUCAGAGCUUAUAUCACUAGGGAGUAUCUCUUUAAAGAAAAAAGAUUAUGUUGUCGCAGCAAAAUUGUACAGUCAGGUAUAUUAA